AAAAAACAUAGCUUAUUAAAAAAUAAUAGGUGGGACCUGGUCAAUGAAGGAAACUUUAAAUUCAUGUCUUAUAAUGAGGAUAAUAAAGUAGCAUAAUAAAUUGGUAUUUAAUAGAUGCCUAGAAUGAAUGGUGAAACGAUUAUAAAACUGUCUUUAAUUUAUAAAAAAAAAAUUAAAAUAAUAGUUAAGAUUCUAUUAAAAAAAAAUUAGACAAGAAGACCCCAUAAACCUUUACUAUAAAUUUAUAAUAUAUAAAUUAGGUAGUUUAGCUGGGGCAGCUUUCUUUUAUAAAAACGAAGAACUAUAUGUUUAUUUUAUUUAAUUAACAAUAAAUAUUUAAUCGACCUUAUAAAUUUACUACGUUUAUAAUUUUUAGAUAAAAGGUACUUUGGGGAUAACAGCGAUACUAUAAGGAUAGAGAUGUAAUCAAACUUUAAAAUUGCGACCUCGAUGUUGAAUUUAAUUAUCCUAUAGCUGUAGAAGGUUAUAAAGGUUAGAUUGUUCAUCUAUUAAAAA
This 516-nucleotide ribosomal RNA is filed under the name Halammohydra octopodides. RNAcentral's name for it is "partial large subunit ribosomal RNA". It matches the Rfam family "Bacterial large subunit ribosomal RNA", at positions 1808 to 2594 of the family's 2925-position model. Lineage: Eukaryota; Metazoa; Cnidaria; Hydrozoa; Actinulida; Halammohydridae. The record is from RNAcentral.